RNAcentral lists this transfer RNA (72 nucleotides) under Marmota monax (woodchuck). RNAcentral's name for it is "tRNA.Thr". Lineage: Eukaryota; Metazoa; Chordata; Mammalia; Rodentia; Sciuridae. The record is from RNAcentral.
UGAGGAUGUGGCUCAGUGAUACAGUGCUUGCCUAGUAUGCAUGAGGCCCAGGGUUCAGUUCCCAGCACUGAA